Molecule: transfer RNA, 64 nt
Filed under: Gondwanalimnadia sp. MT-2020
Lineage: Eukaryota; Metazoa; Arthropoda; Branchiopoda; Diplostraca; Limnadiidae
Description: tRNA-Leu
Source: RNAcentral
ACUAAUCUGGCAGAUAAAUGCAAUAGGCUUAGAAUCUAUCUAUGGGAGACAAUCUCGAUUAGUA